This 253-nucleotide ribosomal RNA is filed under the name uncultured bacterium. RNAcentral's name for it is "partial 16S ribosomal RNA". It matches the Rfam family "Bacterial small subunit ribosomal RNA", at positions 524 to 776 of the family's 1533-position model. The record is from RNAcentral.
UACGAACCGUGCGAACGUUGUUCGGAAUCACUGGGCGUAAAGCGCACGUAGGCGGCUUGUUAAGUCAGGGGUGAAAUCCUGGAGCUCAACUCCAGAACUGCCUUUGAUACUGGCGAGCUUGAGUUCGGGAGAGGUGAGUGGAACUGCGAGUGUAGAGGUGAAAUUCGUAGAUAUUCGCAAGAACACCAGUGGCGAAGGCGGCUCACUGGCCCGAUACUGACGCUGAGGUGCGAAAGCGUGGGGAGCAAACAGG